AGUUAGAAGGUGUAAGAGCACGUCAAGUUGCAAGCUUGAAGGGGAAAUCUCUAAUUA
This 57-nucleotide transfer RNA is filed under the name Hyalella azteca. RNAcentral's name for it is "tRNA-Cys". The record is from RNAcentral. Lineage: Eukaryota; Metazoa; Arthropoda; Malacostraca; Amphipoda; Hyalellidae.